GGCUGGUUAGCUCAGUUGGUUAGAAUGUGGUACUGACAAUGCCAAGGUACAGGGUUCAAUUCUUGUACUGGCCA
Molecule: non-coding RNA, 74 nt
Organism: Cynocephalus volans (Philippine flying lemur)
Lineage: Eukaryota; Metazoa; Chordata; Mammalia; Dermoptera; Cynocephalidae
Source: the annotation of a RefSeq genome assembly